RNAcentral lists this ribosomal RNA (370 nucleotides) under uncultured organism. Its description in RNAcentral is "bacterial SSU rRNA". It matches the Rfam family "Bacterial small subunit ribosomal RNA", at positions 526 to 896 of the family's 1533-position model. The record is from RNAcentral.
CGUAGGGUGCGAGCGUUAAUCGGAAUUACUGGGCGUAAAGCGUGCGCAGGCGGUGAUGUAAGACAGUUGUGAAAUCCCCGGGCUCAACCUGGGAACUGCAUCUGUGACUGCAUCGCUGGAGUGCGGCAGAGGGGGAUGGAAUUCCGCGUGUAGCAGUGAAAUGCGUAGAUAUGCGGAGGAACACCGAUGGCGAAGGCAAUCCCCUGGGCCUGCACUGACGCUCAUGCACGAAAGCGUGGGGAGCAAACAGGAUUAGAUACCCUGGUAGUCCACGCCCUAAACGAUGUCAACUGGUUGUUGGGUCUUCACUGACUCAGUAACGAAGCUAACGCGUGAAGUUGACCGCCUGGGGAGUACGGCCGCAAGGUUG